This 446-nucleotide ribosomal RNA is filed under the name uncultured bacterium. RNAcentral's name for it is "partial 16S ribosomal RNA". It matches the Rfam family "Bacterial small subunit ribosomal RNA", at positions 338 to 795 of the family's 1533-position model. The record is from RNAcentral.
CCUACGGGCGGCAGCAGUCGAGAAUCAUUCACAAUGGGGGAAACCCUGAUGGUGCGACGCCGCGUGGGGGAAUGAAGGUCUUCGGAUUGUAAACCCCUGUCAUGUGGGCGCAAAUUAAAAAGAUAGUACCACAAGAGGAAGAGACGGCUAACUCUGUGACAGCAGCAGCGGUAAUACAGAGGUCUCAAGCGUUGUUCGGAAUCACUGGGCGGAAAGCGUGCGGAGGCUGUUUCGUAAGUCGGGUGUGAAAGGCGCGGGCUCAACCCGCGGACGGCACAUGAUACUGCGAGACUAGAGUAAUGGAGGGGGAACCGGAAUUCGCGGUGUAGCAGUGAAAUGCGUAGAUAGCGAGAGGAACACUCGUGGCGAAGGCGGGUUCCUGGACAUUAACUGACGCUGAGGCACGAAGGCCAGGGGAGCGAAAGGGAUUAGAUACCCGAGUAGUC